CUUGGCACUGGCGGAAUAGUCACAGGAAGUGACAUGACGUGAUUGUUUCCUGGUGCCAAUAA
This 62-nucleotide microRNA precursor is filed under the name Melibe leonina. Its description in RNAcentral is "microRNA mle-mir-96a precursor". Its record names the gene mle-mir-96a. The record is from miRBase by way of RNAcentral. Lineage: Eukaryota; Metazoa; Mollusca; Gastropoda; Nudibranchia; Dendronotidae.